Jaculus jaculus (lesser Egyptian jerboa) is the source of this 131-nucleotide small nucleolar RNA. RefSeq annotates it as small nucleolar RNA SNORA33. The record is from RefSeq and is a predicted model, not a curated record. The transcript has a single exon. NCBI's taxonomy places the organism in Eukaryota, Metazoa, Chordata, Mammalia, Rodentia, Dipodidae.
AAGCCAACCACUUAAUCUGCUUAUCUGAAUGUAUGACUGCAGACAUUUAGAAAAAGCUGACAACAGUGAUACCAUGUUAUGAGCCUUAAGGACAACUGAGGUCAUUAAGGAUCCUGAAAAUGGCUACAGUA